RNAcentral lists this ribosomal RNA (571 nucleotides) under Periconia sp. OTU7 TS-2013. Its description in RNAcentral is "eukaryotic LSU rRNA". It matches the Rfam family "Eukaryotic large subunit ribosomal RNA", at positions 62 to 648 of the family's 3401-position model. RNAcentral also lists the same sequence under 1 other name. The record is from RNAcentral. Lineage: Eukaryota; Fungi; Ascomycota; Dothideomycetes; Pleosporales; Periconiaceae.
AAACCAACAGGGAUUGCCCUAGUAACGGCGAGUGAAGCGGCAACAGCUCAAAUUUGAAAUCUGGCUCUUUCAGGGUCCGAGUUGUAAUUUGCAGAGGGUGCUUUGGUGUUGGCGGCGGUCUAAGUUCCUUGGAACAGGACAUCGCAGAGGGUGAGAAUCCCGUAUGUGGUCGCCUGCCUUCGCCGUGUAAAGCCCCUUCGACGAGUCGAGUUGUUUGGGAAUGCAGCUCUAAAUGGGAGGUAAAUUUCUUCUAAAGCUAAAUACCGGCCAGAGACCGAUAGCGCACAAGUAGAGUGAUCGAAAGAUGAAAAGCACUUUGGAAAGAGAGUCAAACAGCACGUGAAAUUGUUAAAAGGGAAGCGCUUGCAGCCAGACUUGCCUGUAGUUGCUCGCCUGGGCUUUUGCCCGGGUUACUCUUCUGCAGGCAGGCCAGCAUCAGUUUGGGCGGUCGGAUAAAGGUCCCUGACACGUAUCUCCCUUCGGGGUUAACAUAUAGGGGGGACGUAAUGCGACCAGCCUGGACUGAGGUCCGCGCAUCUGCUAGGAUGCUGGCGUAAUGGCUGUAAGCGGC